Uranotaenia lowii is the source of this 913-nucleotide long non-coding RNA. RefSeq lists it as uncharacterized. The record is from RefSeq and is a predicted model, not a curated record. The transcript is spliced from 3 exons. NCBI's taxonomy places the organism in Eukaryota, Metazoa, Arthropoda, Insecta, Diptera, Culicidae.
UCAAAGAGAGCUUCCGAUCGCGUGGUGAUGCAAGCCAAUCAAAACGGUUUGAAUUUCGUUGAUCCGCGGAAUCGGGAACGGAAACGUAAAACGCGGCGCGAAAAAAUUGAAACGGCACGCGUCGCCAAUUGUUCCGGGCAUUGUGGAAUGUGGUUGAUCGAAUUUGACGGCGACUUUUUGCAUUUGAACUACCCUGAGGCUAGAAUUUAGCGGAUGAUUGAAGCAGUGUGAAAAAAUGUAUCAAGGGAAAAAUCGUUGAGUGUUGUUCAUAAAGUUCUGCCCUAAUUGGAAGCGUUUGUGGGAAACAUUGCGGCUCCAGAUCUGGAAUAACAUGGCAUAUGUGUCUGAAAAUUGAAUUGGUACUUAUUACGCGAAGCCCGACCGGGAAGAUGAAUCUGUUCAAGUGGGCCAGAAGUGACUUUGUUGUGUCUCUGUGUGAUCAGUAGUUUUAUGGGAAUUCUGAAUGGCUAAUAAGAAUGCAACAUUAGUUCGGACAAAAAACAGAAGCUGACUUUAGCUGGAAUAAACUUGAUGAAGAAAAAAUCAGCAAUUGAGAAAAAAUACUAAAAACUAUAAAACACUAUGAUGACAGAAAUAUUACUCCAAAGCAAUUUGAGUGUAUAAAAGAAUUAAAAAAGGAAAACUCUAAUUACGGAAUUGGUUUGAACACUGGAAAUCUACGGCAUCAUUGGCAGUAUUUCUCUGUUGAAUUCUCUUGGUAUAAAGCUUUAAAGACCUCGUUAUGUUGAAAGUGUUGUUCGUUCUUCUCCUCCAGGGAACGCUACUGUUCCUGAAGCUGUACGGCAAUCCGGAGAUUGUCAAAACGCACUGUAACCGAACUGCAACCGAGCUAGACGACUCGAGCAGUCCGAUUUACGACGAAGAUGAACUCCUGGCAGACGAUGACCGGAGC